This 20243-nucleotide long non-coding RNA is filed under the name Gallus gallus (chicken). The record is from RNAcentral. Lineage: Eukaryota; Metazoa; Chordata; Aves; Galliformes; Phasianidae.
GAGGGAGGGAAGCUUCUGUUGUCAUUCAGAGAAAAAAGGUUCUUGGACUAUUCACUGAUGAAAGACAAAUGCUUUAAAAAUAAUAAGAACUUCAAAAUCUUAACUAAGAUAUAAACAAAUGUCAUUGUAACAAAAACACAGAAGUCACAUACCAUGUUGCACAAAUCCCAGGUUAGGAUGUGUUCUUAGGCUUUCAGCAGGAGACAGGUGAUGAUGCAAAUGUCUCUGGGCUGGGUUAGCUGCUCUUCCUUGGGAAAAGGCAUUGCCUUGGGUUGGUGGGAGCUGUGCUGCAGUGCUGGGUUAGAGCUGCUGGGAUGUAAUACAGCCACUCAACGGUGAGCUUCCCUUUGCAGGUGGUGGGAUUGUAACCUUCACGCUUGAGGUUAUUUAGGGUUGGGUUUUUUUUAGUUGUAUUUAAAUACGUGACCUCGCCCUUCAAGUUUAAUUGAUAAUUACAUUCAUUAUUUCUUUUUCUUUAUGAAAAGCAAGAAAGCUCAACUUAUCUGAAGGUUUUUACUGUUUGUGCAUGAAAGAUCUAGAUAAGAUGGAUGAAAUGUAAAGCUGUGCUUUGAAGUGCACUGUCCUUUUCUCUGCAGGGCAGUACAAGGCUGCUGUUAUUUUUGGCGUAAAGCUGUUUGGCAGCAGCACAGUGACCCUGGGGUUAACAGAUUAAUUAACACACUGCUGUGUAGUGCUGGCUGGAGCUGGGGCCCCACAGGGGAUGGCGGGUUCUGGGGCCGUGGAGGCAGCUCCCACUUCUGUGGCAGUGUGUGGCAGCAGGUGGGCAGCCUUCUCCUUGCAGCUGUUGGUGUCUGAUCAGUGCGGCCUGAGUCCUGUGGUGAUAUGGGUGUGAGGGGUCCCUGCUGCUUCCUGGCAGCACAGGAGGAUGAAUUCCUCCAAAAACAAACUGUGCUGUGUGGGGUGGCCUGUGCGGUGAGCUGGGAGCUAAGGAGAGGAGCUUUCAGCAAGAUAAUGUUAAGAUCCCUUUUACUGAAGCUUGCUGUGUGGUAUCAUAACUGAAUGACCAGCUCCACUAGGAGGCAGCUCCCCUGAGAGCUCUGCUCAGAGCUCAGGCCCUGCUCUGCCCUCUCAGCUUUGCUGAGCAGCCCUGAAGUGCUGAGCUGGCCCAGCCUUGCUCCCAGCAUAGUCUAAUGCUCUGAGAAAAGUCAGUGUUGGAGCUCUUAAAGCCAGGUAACUUGGCCCAUUGUAGCGGGUGGGAAAGCUUUCUGGUGUGUGCUGAGCAGCUGCAGGGAUGUUGGGGCUGUGAGGAGGCGGUGGGACUCAGAAUUGGGCAAUGGGUCGGGUAGCUGCUGAGAGACGGCGCUGGGUUCUCACUGCCGUUUGGUACCAUUUGUAGUGAGAAUCCAUCCAAGCGGUUAUGGCAAAAAGGAACUUGAACAGCAUCUCAGUUCCAUCUAUCAAACAAGUUGAAGAAAGUUUGCCAGCCAUCCUGCAGCUGAAGGGCUUUUGCAUUUGACUUAUAAGAGGAAACAAAAUGAUCCUUGUCCCCAGGAAAGGUGUGUGGUUAGAAUAUCAGCUGGGCAGAUGUCAGUGACAGCUCAAAGCAAACCUGCCACAACUGGAGUCAGGGUAGGGAAAGGGGCUGAUGGACGUGACGUAGUGCUCAUUUCUGAGCCCUUGCUAUCACAGGCUCCAACAAUUUUUAUUCCUCCCUGGCUGGGCUUUACAGAACUACAAUAAUUGAGAAACAAAGAUGUGUCAUUUCUGCUGCAGGGAGCAGCUCACUCACAAUGCACAGUGCCCGCCUGUCCAUGUUUGGAACACAAUAGUCAGCACAUAAGCAUGAAGGCCACCAGGAAUUGUGCUGAUGAAUGAGAUCUUGGUAGUAGUUGCAGAUGCUUGUGACUGAGCUGAGCCUGCAGGGACAUCGCUGCAGGGUAACAGGGGUAGCCUGAAGCAGCUUCGUGUGACAGGCACUUGGGGGUGGACGUGCAGGGACGGGUGCUGCCCAGUGCUUGCUGGCUGUGGGGCUGUGCUGGCCUCAAGGCUGGGGGGCACUUCGGCUCUGCGGCCCACCUGUGUGCCCUGCAGGUAAGGCAGGAUGAACUGCUUGUGCUUUAGUUUGGCUACAAGUGUGUGGGGGGGGAAGGUCAAACCACAAUUUUGUAACACUUGCUUUAUUCAGAGCAAAGAUUUAUUUGCUGAAAAGAUUCCUAUGUAUCCAGGAUUUCAUUAGCAUAAUGUGCACUUUUUUUUUCCUUGCUGGUUGCAUAAACUAAUACAGAAACAGUUGUUAAUACUAACAAUCUUUAAUUAAUUUAAUAGGAAUUCUGGAAGACACUCUGAUAGAAAAUAUUUAAAAAAAUUUUUUACUGUACAAAGUUUACAACACAUUUGAAAAGAAAAACGUGUCAAUUUUCACCAUAUUACAUACUCCAUUUACAUUCACUAUUGAUGUGUGGCUAUUGUAGCAGCACUGUACAGCCAGCUUCACAUUUACACCUCUACAACAGGACAGGCUUACUGCACUUCACGCCUCACACCAGCACACGAGGAGACAGCAGACGUGGCCAUAAAGCAGUGUGACCCAAUGCCUGCUGCUCAGCUGGGACAGAGGGGUGGGAGACCCGACUUCAUUCACAGCUGUACAGCUCAGCAGGUUCUGUUUGAUUUCCAUGCCUUACACAGCUGACUGCAACACAUUAUCCAGACAGCAAUUGGCCCUGCUCUCUGGUACGCUGGGUUUUGCUUUUACGUGCCAUUUAUGGGAUUUAAACACAAAACCAAGGAAGGCUGAGACUGAAUCUCAAACUUUAUGGUUUAAAGGCAAGCUUUGAAACCCUUCCUGCAGCAGGAUAGCAUUCCGUCAGCCUGCAGUGCUCAUAGGUCAGCCCCAUCUGCUUUUAGCACACUGCGAAGUGCAGCACAAAGGGACAGGUGGCCCUGCUGACACAGGUAAAGCUGCCUUGCUGGGAAGCAGGGCCAGCACAGCAUUCUGCCUGCAAACAGCCUUCACAGCUAGGGUUUGGACCUCAUGUGAGGGCAGUUGCAUAGGGAGAACAUUUUUUGGUUUUUAAUUUUAUUUUGUUGUAUUUGCAGUGUGUGCCGAGGGGCCUAUUUGCUGUACUGAGGUGGUGAGAGGGAGGUCAAGAGAACCAUGUGUCCAUGCUUGGCUACCACCAAACCAAUUUUGUUUUAUAUUUCAGACACAUUUUAAAAUCACCAUAGCACAGUGUAGGAGUAGGAGAGAAGCCCUCUGCUCAACAGAACUUUUUUUUUUCCCUCCACUUGAUUUUCUCCAAGUCAGCUGCCUGCAACCAAACUGAGUGCCUGUCACUUUGUGUGCCUUGUGGAGGACUUCAGAGCUCUUCCCUCUGUGAUCCACAUUUUAAAGCCUUGUAAUGGUGGCAAAAGAUAUAAAAGAGGCAUGUAAUGUACUAGUGUGACUGGAGGAAUGGAAUUUGAUGACUUCCAGGCAGUCCUAAUGAACUACCUCAAAAAUGAAGCAGCGCAAGGACAGAAGGGCUCUUUAAUGUUCGCUGUGUAAUUAGAGUUGUCCUGCGGCCCUGGCUGACAGGCAAAGGCAGAGGAAUAAGAACGGGAGGUGUGAGGGAACAUUUAAUGCAGCUUGCAAUUCAUUUGUGAGUGAGAUAAUGCAUCUGUCACCUUAAAUGCAGUAAUCAGCUGUGUCCUUUAUCAGUCUGCAUAUUACACAUUGUAGCAUGUGGUUUCCUUUUGAUUUCUGGGGGCUGGGUUUUUUUCUUGGUCUUAAACUUAACCUUUGAAACAGGUCUGAGCUGUUGGAUUGAGUCAGGUUCUCUGGAACAAACCGUAACUUUCCUAGCUGCACGGGUUUUUUUGUUCUUAGUUUUCCUCAGAGCUACUGCUUAGUCCUAAAUUUCUUAAAUUCUUGCAGACUUAUCUGACUGUCCAGGGGAGUGUAUGCGUGCACAGGGGAGAGAAUGAAUCUCUUCAAAGGCUCUGUUUAUCAGAACAGUAUGUAACACAUUGUUGAAGGAUGGCUUUUUCCCUUGAUUUUUCAUCGCUCCCUGGAGCUCUAUCUAGUAAAAUGCGUUCUUCUACAAACAAGAUGGAGAUCAGUGCAGCAAGGGGUGAGAUCUGGCAGUGCUGCUGGUUCAGGGGACUAAAUGGGUUGUGCCUGAAGGUGCCCAGGAGCUCACCUUCUCCAGGGGCAGCCUGCCGGGGUGGCCCUGCCUGAGCAUGGCUGGAAGUGGAUGGACCCAGAGGUUCGUUCCCACCUCAACCAACCUGAGAUUCUGGUGCAUGGCAGUUGAGCUUUUCUUGUGAGUUCUGUGUUGAAGUGCUCGGUUCUGUGUUUCAAUUGAAAUAACUGUAUGUUUGACAGCAAACAUUCCAGUAAGAAGCAGAUUUUUACUACUAUAACUUAAUUCAAGGUAACCCAGAGCUUGGACCAACCCUGCAGAAACAAACCAGAGUGUUUUGUGAUAAGUGAAUUAUCAGUUUGGAUAAAUCACAAUGCAGUAGAUAAAAUUUACCUUAACGAGAGAAAAACAAUUUAAAGAUCCCAUCUCCUUGUAUGAGAUACAUAACCAUUCUGAAACAAAGCAGUUCCACUUGUCUUAGGGAAAGCUGCACUGAAGGCAGAAGAUCGUUCCUAUUUGAACCACAGACACAGAAAGGAACUAGAAAAAGGUUGGUUUCUCUUUGUGCUAGUUGAACAGCUGUAGUUAAAUUGACUCACUGUUUAUUAUGUUUUUAAAAAAUAUAGUUCACACAAAAGUUAUCAUGUAAACAUUCUUUAAAUAACUGCUGGUGCUCAGGCAGAAUUCACACUGUGAACAACAAAGGACUGUGAAUUGACGGUCGUGUGGCUUUCAGCUGUGGCUGCACCAGUUUCAUAGCUUGGAAGAUUCAGUGAAGAUUUCUUUGUGUGUGUAAGUAGGUAGAUAUUAUCACAAGACAACUACACACCAUGCUAUAUCUUUUGAUUACUUGGUUCCAGGAUUCCCAAGCCAAAUCUCUCAAAGCGCAGGACAACUUUGCUACUGUUAAUGCUGAAAAGAGUGGGGAAGGAAAGGAGAAGGGAGGGGAAAAGAAUUAUUUAUUUACUGUUGGUUUUUCAUUGUGGUUGUUUUUUUUUCUCCCCUACAAAGCUACAGUCAUAGAAAAUGGGUUGGGUUCUGGUUUCAUGCGGUGUGAGAUCACCCAGCAGCAUUUAAAAAUUAAGCAGCAAACAUUUGAUUUAUUUAUGCUAACCUCAUUACUGAAAGCAUAUGGCUCAAAUUGGCAAAACAGGAGGCUUUAAAAGUACCUAGCCUAAGGUGGGUAGAAGACUGACAGAUGUUUGGUUUCCUUGAAAUAGAAAUGGAGAAAAAAAAUACUUUUCUAAGGAUAAGGGGCAUUCUGACAAAGUACAGCAAUUGCUUCAAAAAACACAUCUGCUUCUCUUUAUAGCGUAUAGAAAGUGAAUAAAGAUGUCUUUUCUUUCACCCUUAAUCUGUUAGUGUAGCUAGAAACAUUUUCACUUCAAAAUGCCUUCCUACACGUAUGUGCUAGGUGGCAACAAGGCAGGGAGCAUGAGUACGUGAGGGCUUCCAGCAGACUCUUUCCAGUGCAGCAUGCAGGGCUCUGACUUUCUGAGAAAAUGACAUGUAGGUGUAUUUGUCCUCACUGAACGCAGUAAGAACCUCCCUGGCUCCUGCUGCAUAUCUGCCUCUGUCCUCGUCCUCUCUCCCUCAAAUUUUCUUCAAAAAAGGAAUGAAAAAAGACCUUUUACAAAAAGGCACGUGUUUGCAGUGCUGCCUACAGUUCUGCAAAGUUCCUACUGCAAAGUCGAGCAUUUUGCUGAACUAGGAAUGUAAACAAAAGCAAAUCACAGAACUCAAAACGCUGGAUUUGCAAGUGAAGGAGAAUGAGGAACUGAAGGGUUUCUCUGCUUUCCUCCUCUUCUGCACAGUGCUGUAGCUGAUCCCAGUUUUGGAUGCAGCUGGUGGUGGUGCAUUCCCAGGUAGGCUAGGGGACUGCAAUCUGCCCUGAGCACAGCGAGGGCUAUCCUCCUUUCUAUGCAAGAACUGUACCUGCUGUGUACACCCCUGACAAAGCUGACCCUUGGUUCAAUGCAGGGCUGGAUCUGGCCCUACAGGAGAACUGACUCAAUCUGGCCCUUAAGUCGCAUUGGUUUGCAAUGCAAGUGAAGUGUUCAGUUGCUGGCUCUGCCUGUGGAAAAUGUACCUGUUAUCUUGAGUCAAAAGCCACCACCUCAGACAGCAGCUAGGAAACUUCUCCCUUCUGCCUCCUGAGGCUUGCAGGCCACAAAUGCCAGUGUCAGCCAAACCCCAAUGCCUGGUUGGUCAGGGCAGAGCACCAGCUGCCUGCCAGGAGGAAGCUGCAGCCUGCUGCCGUGACUCAGAACGGAGAGGUGCUGCGUUGUUAGACAGUAACUUCUUGUAGGCCGGAGUUGUUAUUCAAGCUAACAGCCCAUGCCAAGCAGAAAAAGGCAGAAAAGGAGAAUUCAGAUAUAAUGUUGAUUAUGUCCGUGGGUUAAUUUCGUGGUUUGUUUUCAUUUUUUUGAAUGGAAGGUGAUUGUCCAAGUUGCUGGUUAGGAUACAACACAUGGAAGCAUGCAAGGUGGACCCCAUUAUUGCACCAGUAGCUACAACCUACAAAGAAAUAUGGAAGGGAGGGGAAAAAGACACCAUGAGAGUUAGUUUUCAGUUAUUUUAAAGCAAGCUCUUGAAAACUACCUAUUAGAAAGCUUACGGUAGUGUCAAGCAAGGGGUUAGUGCCGUAUUUCCUCUAAGGAGUUGUCAGAGGGGAUGUGACUGCCUUCAGUAGGUUUUGUAUCUGGUUGCUAGUUGACACUGCUAUAGAGUGCUUUCUAAGUGUAACCUGAAUAUUAUGUAGUUUGCAGGAGACAAAAACCAACUGAGCUGCCUGCGCUUUAAUUUCAGUGAGCACUAAUUCAGCUGUCAGCAUUGAUAAUUAAUAGUGGCACUUAAAGUACUUCUCUUCUAUUACAUGCUUUCAGCAGAGAAAAAAGCAUUAAUGUAUGCAAAUUUACAUGAACCACUUGCAGUAGGAGGGGAGGAUCUGUCUACCCAGGGAAAAAAUAAUUUGGGUAGCUGCUACAUAAGGCAUGGUUCCACAAGCUGUUCAAGAACUCCCUAUGGAAACACUAACCCAAAAUAAUCACUUAGCAGAUUACUCUGGAAAUGAGCACUCUUGUGAAAUGACUGCCCAAAUGGGAAGCAUUCCUUCAAAUAACUUGAGUGUGAUGUUAGGGACAAUGCAGGACCCUCUGACAGUCUGCAUGGGAAUAUUUAGGCAGCCUGAGCUCCCAGUCUGCACUGCAGUGUCUGACUAGGUGGAUUGAAAGAUAUCAAGUUGGCUGUGAGAGUUGAUGAUUCAACACAAGUGGAUCUGAUAGCAUGGAGAAAUGAGAGCAUGAAAGUGUUGACACAGAGCCAUAAUGGUGGAGGGCUCUACAGAAAAGGGCUUGUGUAGGAAAGGAAAAACUUUAACAGAGGGCACUGCCAUCUCAUGUAGAUCUCCUGACAAAAGAACUGCUGUUGUCCAUAAAACAAUUUGAACUCCAUGAUCCUCUGAGACAAAAGAUGACUCUUUUAAAAAAUAUAUAUAUUGAUGUGGGGCAAAGUUACCUUUCAAAUCCAAGAAUAAGAGACCCUCACUGAUCAUUGCACUCUGCAGCUUAUCACGCUGGACCAGAUUCUGUACCUGCCUUUGGUACUGACAUCCUUCUCACUGCUCUAAGGACAGCAUCGCUUGCUCUCUGACUCCCAGUGUGCAGAAAAGACAGGUUUAAGUUUACAAAGCUUUAGGCCUGAGGAGGAAAAAGAGCUGUUUCUCUUAAUUUAUGAAUGAUGGACAGAUAUUUCUAGCUCAAGUUCUGUUCGUUUCUCUUUAGAUGCUUAUUUAGAAAAAAAAACACUUAAAAUAUCAAGACAACUGAAAUCCCCAGACUGAAGCUGUAACAGAUCUGCUGGAGCAGGGAGUGGGCAGGCACAGAAUGACAUCUUACCUCCCACCUACAGUCACACCCCAGUGCAUAGCAGAAAUUGAUGAUGCAAAUAACUGCCAAAUCUAAGGAUAUCCCUGUUUUUUCAUUGUAUCUUUUUAAAACGAGUGCUGUAAUAUGAAUAUAUACCUGUCUAACACAUGGAAAAAAUAGCAGACAGUUCUACUUAUCAGCGAGUGGAUAGUAAGCAUUCAACUUUUUCUGGUAAUAGUUUUCUUUUGUAUAAAGGUGAGGCCAUCUUUUAAUGUUGUUAGACAUUAUAACAAGAGACAAAGGGUGAAAUCUGCAACCAAACCCCAAAAUAAAGCACACACACCAAGGCACAAAAUGUCAUGAUGCUCACCAUACAAGUAAACAGAAGCAUUUGUUCAGUGAUGAUAACGUAUUACAGGAAGAUCAUGAAGGGUUAUGGUAAGGAAGGGGUAGAUUAAACAUCAAAAAGGGAAAGAAAUAAGAAAAUAUUAAAGGAGCAGUUGAAGAAAAUUUAAACCAAAGAAAGUAUGUGGUAAUGGGCACUGUUCACAGUCUGAUCUCCCCUGACUUCGAGGCAAGCGAGACUGGGAUCUCUUAUUGUCUGAGUGAUGGGUUAUUCAUGACACAGCAGACAAAAGGUUUUAGGCCCUAUGGCUUUAUACAAAUCUAUUCUGACCUGGAUUUAGUUCUAAAUUCUGGUCUCAUCUAUCAUAACAGAUGUCAUAGGAUGUUCAGUGAAGUAUUUCUGAGGGGUCUCUCCCAGUUUUGUCAGUUUACUGAUGCUUUAUCUUGUGAUACUUUUCUUUCCCACUUUCAACACAGGUCCUAAAUUGGAAAGUAUCAUGAUAUGGCUAGGACUUGCGUUGCUACCUCUCAUCUUUCCUUGAUCCAAAUCUUGACAUGAUUCCAGCUUAUCCAGUCCAAAAGUAAAACUUGUUCCUAGCUGUCAAUUUGCUGCCAAGCAAUUUAUAGAUUCUGAAGAUUUUAGUGUUCUUUUUUUCCUCCAGAGGUCAACUGUAUUGAGCAAAGUGCUCCAUUCCUGUAUCUGUCUGUGCAAUGUGGGCAGUCUUCCAUACAGAGGAGGAGGGGUUUGCAUUUUUUCCCUACCUGCUCCUUGAGGAAGGUUGCUACAUUAAGACUCUUGCAUAAAUUGAUGGUUCAGUUUAAAAGGGAAAUGGCAGCACAUUCUUUGGUGAUUCCCUUCCUCAUUCAGUACCAGCCAUUAGAAGGGAAACUCUAAUCCCUUUCAGGUCAGUGUGGGCACUUUCCAAUAACGUUGGUAAAUACUCUCUGAAACUGAACAAAGCUGGAUAAAUGAUCUACAGAAGGAGGGAAGCAAAUAUGUUGAAGUAGGAAAUUAACUGUCUGAAAUGUGUGCGCGUUUAAUUACAUAAUUUCCUACUAAGUAGAAAAGCAGAAAAGCACAUUGUUACUCUGCUAUUAAAGGCAUGACAGACCCCAGGAAGGCAAAAUUAAGCACAGGAAUAGUUGGUUAGCAAAUUCUGAGCAGCAUAAGUGUUAACAACCGCAAGUACUCACUCAGCAGACUUCCAGAAGUGCCCUGGGUGGGAGAGCCGACGAUUCAGUUUUGGCAGUUUUUCAAGCAUAUCCAUGAGGACAGUGAAGCUAGGUCUCUCACUAAGAUCAAAUGACCAGCAUGCUGAGAGAAUUUCCUGCAAAGGAUAGUUAAGGCUCAUUAUUUUCACUUAGUUCACAUGUCAACUCUACAAACUUAGUGACUGAUUGAGCAGUGUGACUUGUGACAGCCCAGCAAGAACUACUUUUUAAGCAGUUGUCUUGGACAUUCUUAAAGUCAGUGUCCUGUGUACCACUGGAUGUCACUUUUAUAUGACAAUAACGGGAAGAGGCUGGUAUGUCAUUCUAAUCUGUUCUCUCUCCUGCCCUUUAUCUUCAGAAUUAUAGUAAAAUAAGCAGCUCCCUCUUUUCCAGCAACCCUGGCAAACAGUUUUUUGGAAGGAAUCCUGCAGCUGAUGUACCUACAUUGAUUUCUUUCCCCAAACUAAUAGUUGCAAGGAUUUGUUUCACUCCUUCACCACUUCCAAUUUGCCAGAUGAGUGCCUCGGCAGGCUGGUUCUUGAAGGGCCAUUCUCUUGCUUGGAGCUCAUACCACACAGUCCUGCAACACAAACAGACAAAUCAAGCCUUUGCCUGCUCUUAAGAUGCAAAACUCUGACAGAAUCCCAAUUUCUUCAGAAAGCUCUGGAAUGUAAAUAAGGCUGUGCAGCAAAUCCCUCCCAGCCCAUUCACCCACCUCCUUGUCAAGCUGUCACACCCAUGUCUUUCAUAGUAGGUGAGGGAAAUGCAGCCUAGCUGAAUCUGAGUCUGACAGAAGACUGGCAAGGCUCAGGUCUGUAUCAUAUCUCAUUUAGAAAGUUCCAGUGAUACGCUUCAGGUCUCUUCCCCUUACCCAAAGGCAUAGAUAUCUGCAGCUUUGGAGAAAGGCAGCUUGUCUUCAUCUUUCCCAGGGGCCAUCUCACGAACAAUUUCAGGGGCCAGGUAGCAUAACCAGUCAUGAGGCAGCUUCAAUUCAUUCUCCCUCCUGAGUUCAAAGGAAAGAAGUCAUACUGAAACACAAUAUUAAAUAAACUAAGAAACAGCACAUGGCCAAUAGUUGUGGUUUGCCUAAUGCUGUGACUUUUCUCAAAUGUUUUAGCUUGGCUAACACUCUCAUUUUCUUGCCAUAUUAAAAAACAUAUGCAAUUGUUGGCCUGACGCUCCAGCUCAUUCUUGGGCUUAAAAUUGUUUUUGUUUUGUGUUCUGAGACUCAAUUCACGUUAUUUUCUAGCUGUGUUCCACUGAAAGUGUAGAAAGGCCUCUAUUUAAAAAAAAAAAAGUGUAUUCCAAAGUGUACAUAGUAAAGGACCCAGAUCUCCUCUCUUGCACUGUGCAACACAUCGAAAUGUGUCCCUGUUAGAUUGGUUUUAUCACCCCAGAAGUGGACCGAGCACUGAAACCUCCACCUACCUUCCUUCCUGAACCACACCCGAAAUUCCAAAUAGUCCAAAGUCAGUGAUCACUACUUUCCCAUUGUCAUAAAAAACAUUCUUGGAUUUCAGAUCCUUGUGUACAAUCCCCUUUGCAUGAAGAUAGCCCAUGCCCUGGAAAAAAAGUUUAUAUGCAGAGAUGUACAUUUUGUCUUAUCUACAAGCCUCUAACUGGGCAUGCUUUUCUUUCUAAUAUGUGUUUACUCUAUUUACUCCAGCAUAAACAAUAAAUUAAGUGGGGAUGCAUCAGCUUCCUCCUCUGUACAGCAGGGUUGCUGGGAGGGCACUUCUAAUUGAAGCAGUAAGUGACUGUGAACUUUACAACUCUGAAUAAGUGUGUAUGUGUAUGGACAAGGAACAACUGACACAAGCUUGCUCAGUAAAUUCCUAGGACGCUACUGCCAGCAAAGAAAACAAUAGCUUAAGAAAUGCUACUUCAAUUGAGCAAUACUGAAAACAACCAUGGAAAACUGCAAAUCUGGAAGAUAAUGUCUACUUCAGAAUGUAGCUGUAGUUACUAAUAAAAGAGAAGAGACUGGGAAGGAAAUCUGCCCUGCAUGCAUUUCUUCAUGGUUGCCUUUUAUCAAAAUUCUCCCUCCCCAACCCCAGAUAAGCAAAAAUUCAAUUUCUAUCCCUACAGGUCUUCAGCUUACUGCCCCACUGAAUUAGCAGUUUUCCUUCCUCCAGUUUCAAGUUUUUCCCUACUGCAGCAUCCUGUAGUACGGCUAUUGAACUUUCAGACCCUCUCCAGCUGUGCAGCCACUCAACACUUGCUGAGGUACUGCCCAGAAAACAGAUGUCUCUGAUAGCACAAUGUAUGCUUACCUUAAUGAUCUCCUGUGCUAUCUGCCUGGUUUUGUUAAUAUCCAGGGAUAUCUUGGGGUCCCUUACAAAUGAAUAAAGUGUCCUUCCUUUGCAGAAGCUAUAAGAAAGAGGAACAAGAGUCCUAAAAAGUAUCUUUAAAACUUUGGAGGAACAUAAAAAUGACCACUGGAUGCUCAAAUGGUACUCUUAUCAUGUUGACAGAAUCAGUCGUCUUCCCUCUGCUGAGCAAUGCCAUUUUCAAUAAUAUAAAUGGCUCAGUUGACAUCUGUGUGGGUGCACACAAUUGCAGCUGUCGCUAGCAUUCAGUUAUCGCUAAAGUGUGUUCAAGCAAAUGCUUGUGUGUUUCCUCAGUGGCUCUGAUCUCGUUAUGCCCUUCUGACAAAUAAGUCCAGUUUACAAAACCUGAGCACCAGCUUCUGCUGAGACUGCUGGUUACUUUAUCCCACUUUUUAAGAAUUCAAAAGACUUUAAGAGACUAAAAAAUAAGAAUUAAAUUGUCAAUAAAUAAGCUCCGUAAGAGAUGCCUCUAAUAUCCAAACCUCCAAGCAACAGAGGCUGCGUUUAUGUCUUCCACUUUCAGACUACAGAAAUAAAUAUAUUUAUAAUACAUGCCUAUAUUAUAAAUAUACAUUAAAUAUUUGUUAUGCAAAUAUAUAAUUUACAAAUAUGUUUAUAGAAAUUUAUUUUGUAUUACUAUUAUAAAUAAAUGAGCAGGUGUAGCAUUACCAACAGAAGUUGCUAUAUCCUUACCUAGUAAUGAUUGCUAAAUGAGGAGGGUUCAUGCAUGCUCCCAUGAAAAGCACCACGUUCUCAUGCCGGGUCUGUCUGUAAUUCAUCACCUCCUUUUUAAAGAGCUUGAGAUGAUCCUGAUUGUUCCCAUCUAUCUCCAGCAGCCUGAUGGCCACUUCCCCAUGCCAUUUUCCCUUGUGAACCUUCCCCCAUCGUCCUUGGCCAAUGGGAUCCCCCAGUUCAAUCUGUUCAAAGGGAAUGUCCCAUUCCUGCAGGUAGACGCUGGUCUGGCUGGGUUUGCGAUAAAUCAUCCCUUGCAAGUGCGGCCUUCUGUUUGGCAAAUCUUCCACUUCAUCCUCAUCAUCUUCAGGUUCUGAUUUAUUACUCUCAGGUUCUUCCACCUGUUUACAGAAAGAGAAAGGAAAAACAUGCUGAGAGUCUGUUUUGAGAGGACUUGGGUAGGUUGAUGUACCUAUUUGACUACAGACCUAGAGAUCUCUUCAUAGGACAAAGUCAUCUGAGAAGGCUAUAAAAGGCAUACACCUCCUCUGGGGAUAUGACUCAAGAACCACUUGAGAAACAGCAGGCAACUGAGUGAGCCAAAGACUUGAGAAGUAUCACCUUAGGCCAAUUAGAAACAGAACUUUCUGUUACAAGUACUUCAUUGUUUCAGCCUGGCAACAAAACACCAACUGUCAGUAGAGAUCUUUGCAGCAUAGACAGCUGAGUGGAACUGAAGGCACAGCUAGUCUACACUCACAGCUCCACAGCUACAAGCUUCUGUUGCGUUACAACAUGGCCUUUGGGAUUACAAAAGAGGUAUAAAAGGGGAAACCAUAAAACGUACCUCUGCUUCAUGUUUAACUCCAUCUGUAACUGUCUGUUCUUUAGCACUAACAAGAGAAGAUAGAUUUGUAGUAAGAAAUAAAUAGGGUGCAGAUAGUGAAAGCAGUAUAGUCGAUCAUAUCAAAGUAGAAUCAAUGCUCUACUUAAUGACUAAGGACUUUCUAAGAUUACUUUGGCAAAUAAGAGACAAAGACUUUGAAGUGAUUCUCAGUGUUUAAGUGGUAGGAAUUCACUGGAAGUGGUGUGGCUGCAUUAGUACAAUGUGUUUCAGUAACAGAUACUCCUAUUUCCAGUACUACAGAAACACAUAUGGAGUGGUCAAGCAAUUGUGAGUGCUAAGGUAUGUAGGUUAAAAACAUCACACCCUACAAUUCAGAUCUCUACAAAGAUGUUAGCUUGCCAUGCUCUUCCAUGUUGUUUCAAUCAUGAAACCAUCUACCUUUUAUUUCAUUGGACCUUCCUGAUCUGGGAACAUGCACACACAACCAUAACUACAUAUUUGAAGGCACAGUCCCACUUAAAAUAAAUAUUUUCAGCUUUACAAAACCAGAAAUACCAGUAUCACUCUUGCUGAUUGAAAUUAUCCUGUAGAAGUUUUCAGAUGAUAUGUUCAGCAGGCUAUUGGUUUCGGUUAUCACAAUGCCUUCACGCUGACCUGAAGAUUAUCAAGUUAAUAAAGAUAAAACAAGCAGAACUUACUCAGUGUCUGCAGCGGUUUCUGGAGGCUGUGCUAUUUGUGCAGGACUGGGAAUUUCUGAAAAGCAUGAAAAUUACUAUACAUAUUUUAGACUUAAUUCCCUUAUAGAUCAGAAUAUUCAAUAUUGCAGUAAUGGCUGUUUUACAUGCCUUUAUAUCAACCAAUCCCAGUUUUCUUAACAUCCACUUAUCUGUAACGUUUUGCAACGGCUGUCCUCAUCUGUGAGCUGCUCACACUCUUUUAAAUGGCCUUAAGCAAUCAGAAAUACUUGAAUCCAGAUGCCCCAGUUCUGUGAGGAUUGAUCUUUAUUGCAGGUCAUGCAUUCCAACCAUACUUAGUAUGAUCAAUGUCACCAUUGCACAGGAAAUUCAGUUUGGGUUGCAAAUCCUCGCAAAAUUUAGAGUAUAGUACUCUGUACCUGGCAUCCUACAUCACCAGUUCUCACUUUGGAAAUAGACAAGCUGUUUCUGAGUGUUCGUGAACAGUGACCAAGAGCUUGCACAUAUGAAUAAUGUUGCAUCGUUUUUAAACCCCAUAGGCAAGAACAUUAAUUCAUAAAGGUGAACUCAGCAUUCCUGAACUGACAGCUUCCAUUUAUUCUAAGCAUAUAAUCCCAAAAGACAGCCUUAACAAAAGAACACAGCUUUGAGUAGAAUCUCACAGCAGAAAUCUGUUGCUUUAUCUGUUGUAUUGGAUACACUUCUUUUCAAAAGCAGAAUUAUCAUUCUUGAGUAAGCAUGCAGAAAUUUACAAACAGUUACUUUCUGACAGCAAAAGCUAGUUAGUAGAAUUAAAACAGUCAACUCACCUGGGAAGAUAAACUGUUGUCUAUGCUGAAUAUAGUAGGCAGCUUUUUGGUUAAAAAAAAAAAAAGACAGCAAAAAAAAAUACCAGGGAAAAACAAAACAAAAAACAAAAAACAAGUUAGAGGAUCAUCAGUAAGUGCCACAUAUGCAUUCAAUGAAUUAGUCCCAACUCACUAUUGGGAAGCAGAUUAGUUGAUUAUCAGUCUGCUUUAGGGGUGAAUUUCAGCACAUGCGUUUUUGGAAGACAGGUGACACCUGUCACAUGAAUGCUGUGUUACCAAAAAGCAAGCAGUCUGGCAGGAAAACCCCCUGUUCAGAUGUCAAGUGGAAGAAGUAAACUCAGAGAAGCCAGGGAUGCUAACAGGCAGGCCCAGGGAAAAGCUGGUCCUUCAAUCCUCCCUCAUAUCGUCAGCUUUUCCAAGCUGCAUGCAGAGAGGCUGAAGCUCAAGAGCUAUUUGCAAGGUUAUUUUUUGUUUUAAUUUCACUUAAUUUAAAUUACUUGUCCUAAUACAAAGUAACUGCUGUAGAAUCCUUGCACUAAACUAGUGCUGCUUCUGCUCCUUUUAAGUAGGCUAAAACAGCAACUUACACAGCUGAGAAAUCUUCUGCAAAUUACAGCAGUAUUUAAGCAGCACCUGUUUAGCAGCAUGUGAUUUCAUUUCCAGAUAAAAGGAAUUAAGUUUAUUCUACUAUGCAAGCCUUGCCUCUAUUAGCUUUGUUAAAGACAGCGUAUCUGGGUCCUUAAUCUGUGAAGUCUGUAAAUUCUUCACCAUGCACAUCUGUCUACACUUUAAAAGCCAGUGUUCAUUGUUGGUUAUCUUUUGGAAGGGACCAAUAAAGCAAAUUCAUGCCAGUCUUCAUUUCAAUAUUUUGUUCUAGCAAGGAACUUAUGAUUUAAAGACCAAAAACAGCAGGCAGCAUGCAUUUUAUGAUACAGUAAGAAAAAUGAGGAAAAGAAUACUAUUUGUUUUUAGUACUCAUCAGAAAAAAAAGGAAAAAAAAGAAAGUAGAAAGAUCAUAUCAUGUAAGAAAGGUACCAGAACUCCUCAGUAAUUUGUUUCCUGCAAAAGUAUCUUGUUGCCAUGACUUAAAACCUUGUAAGAACAGACUGUUUCCUUUUAUCAGAUGACAGGAAAAACUUUCAAACCUUGAGUAAGACUCAACUAUCUAUUCAGAAACCUGAAUCUACUUAUGAAGUUUUGAUUAGCCUCAGCUUCCAUAGAUGCCUUUCUGAUCUUGGCAGAGUUCUCCAGAAAAAGAUGGGUUUACCUGGGAAGUUAAAUCGUCCGUCCCUCUGGCCCAUAGGAGAUAGGUUUGGGGGAGGUGUUGCACUGGGAGGGUUGGAAGACUGGAAAGGUGCUGGAGAAGAUGGCGUGGAAGAAGUUGUAGAAGAGGGAUUACUGCUGGAGUCCAGAUGGUUUAUUGCUGGUGGGUGCUCCUGAAAAGCAAGAAAAGUCACUAAUGAGUACAUAAUAAAAAUACAGAGUUUUCGUCAAUGUUUCAUGAAACGAGGAAGGCUGUCCCUAGCCUCAAACAACACAGUUUCUCUGAGUGAGGAGGCUCAAGAUGUGCACAACCAAUGUUUAACAAUGAGGAAAAUUCAUUCUGAAGACUCUUUACAAAGUGAAAGCUGAAGUGCCAUUCUUGUUCCAGCCACUAAGGUACUACUGUGACCUCUCCUUAUUGUAGUUCCUCACUGACUGCGAGACAGAAGAUUCACAUCACUCCAGUCACUGCGUACCUUUUUAGUGAGUGCUUUGGGAAGAGUUCCAAACUGUGGUUCUGUUGGUCUGUCUACUGGAUUGUUGAUAUCAGAAGGGACAGACUCUGUUCUCCUUAUUUUGGUAACUGAAAAACAGGUUGGAGAUAAGAUGAAAAAAAAAAACCCUUUAAUCAGACUUAUUUUUCUUGUGAUACGAUCAGCUACAUUGAUGUGCUAGGAAUUUGUAGUUAACUUACUGGGAAGGAAUGAUAUUCUGCAAGCAGGUGCCUCUUUAGUACACUUGUUGUGACAUUUCAAUCUGAAAGAGAAAUGUUAAAUGUUAAAUAGCACUUGUUCUUUCCCAUAAAGAAGAAGCCUACCCUUAAUUUAUACUAUUUAUGCAAAUCAUAAGGAGAUUUCUGGAAAGCUCUAAGCCUCAAAGCAGGCCCAUGUGUUCAUAUGAAGAAUCCCAUUAUAUGUAUCAUUAGAGUAAUGAAAGUCAGAUAGAUACCCUAGCAUCUGAUUUAUUUCUAAUAUAGUUAUCUUCACUUAUGACUUUCCUGAGACAGGGAACUGCGAAAAUUUCAGCUCUCUGGACUGAAAAUCCAGAGAGAAUCAAAACCAAAUCCUUGUUGUAACACAGGCACUCAACUUCCAGUACAAGAUUUGCCUAUGGUCAAGUAGGAAUUCCAUAGUAGGGGACUACAUUUGGUUCCUCCACACAUCAGGUUCCCUGCCUAAGCACUGUCAUGCCAAAGCAACACACUGCCAGUCUGACUGAAAAAAGUGAUGCCACUGUUAACAGUGGCUUUUUGUUUUUGUUUUGUUACUGAUAUACUUGAAUGAAUAAAACCUAAAGUUCUUAUGUAAAAGAUCAUCUCUGUGGGCUCACCUGCAGUACUUACACUUCACCCCAAACAUCAUACUUUUCUGACAAACUUGGCAGAUCUGAGAUAACCAAGACUUUGUAGAGAACCUAAGCAGAGGAAAGAGGGGAAAAACAUGUUAGCUGGUACCUAAAGAAAACUGCAUUUGUAGCGACAGGCAAGCUACAAUCCUUCAGCAUUUUCAGAAAAGGGCAAGUGGUGUUAUGGAAGACUUCUCACUUUUCUGAUCAAUAGCAACGGAAAGAAGGCUAGCAGGAAACUACAAGGGAAGAAAAAGGAAAUGCUUUUUCCAUGAAGGGAGGAAGGAGCAGCUUCCCUUUCAUUUUUAGCAGCACAAGUGUUUUAGAAAAGGCACUGUUGCACAUUUCUUUUACUUAGUUCUUUCACCCAGGACACAAGCCCCAUACAAAACAUUACUGCUGUUGGUACCCCAGUCAUUGAAGAAUCACAAGUCAGUUAGCUUUGUAAAAAGGAUUUCAGGAGCUGAACACAUCAAAGAUAUUAAAAACAGAAUGAGCUGCAAUACAAAUUCAAGGUUGAACUUGACAAAUGAGGCACACAACCCAACUUCAAGCCCAACUUUACUACUACAAACACACUAAAUAUGAUGCUGUUCUGGUUCCCACAGUAUGUGUUGCUUACCUGUGUGUUACAGCUAAGCCAAAGUCUCUUCGUACCAUUUGAGGGGAUCCUUGGGAGAGUUCUGAUGGAGAACAAAGGGAUCUUUUAGGGAAGCAUUACUCACAAGCACACUUAGCAGUUUAGACAUAAACAGUGACAUAGAUAAAAACUAGUAGGUAUGACUUCUCUAGGAGCACAGCUGAAAUCAAUUUGCCUUGUGCAGUAAAACUACAAGAUAGUCGUGUUUUUCAUAUGAAGGCAAUAUGAACUAAAAUUUGGUGUUAGAAUCAUAAUUCUUCCUUCCUUGCAUUAAAUUGUUAUAUGUUAAGUUUAGGGAUUAAGAAAGCCCUAGGCCAUUCUCAUAACCAAGUGGAAAGUCACACAAUAGCUUAUUCCCAAUUGGUUUUCCACCAAAACCGUCAUCCAGUUUUCCUGUAGUAAGUAGAUUUCAGCGUGUUCUUUUACACUGAAAAUUAUUAUCACCAUUUUAUAGACAGAACCAGUGUGGCCCAGAAGAAUUAAAAAAAAAAUUAUCUGGCAUCACUUAGCUAGCCAAUAAAUGCAGAAAAGGAGAGCUGCACUCCAAAAUCCCAGUCCAGUGCUCCAGUGGUUAUACCAAAAAACUUCCUGGAAGCUCUCAAAUAUUAAGACUGGCAUAAUUCCUUAAUUAAAUCUGUAGCCAUUUUGCAAACUGGGAGGAAACUCAACCUGUAGGUAUCAGCACAGCCUCAAGAUGGGACACUGUCAGUGCUUAUAAAAGCCACUCUCUCUCUUUGACCCUAGGUGGCACCAAAUUCUUUUUCUUUUUUUUUUCUAAAUCAUUAUUCCAGUGAACUUUUCAAGGCAUCUGCAGUCUUCAGCAUCUCACAAUAGGCUGGACAGACUAGCAGCUUUUCCAAAGAAUACUGUUGAGCAAGUGUGGACAUCCAAACCACAGCUGUCUGCAUUAAUCAUCAUAACAUAAGUUAUGACAUAAGUGAUAAAUUUUAGAAUUUAACGGGACAUAAGAGAGCCUACAGUAUAAUUUUUAAAAUAGACUAGCUGCAUAGAAGCACCAAAAAUCUUAAUUUGUUUUAACUUUUUCUUAUGCCUUUUUAAUUCAUUAUUUAAAUUCCAUCACUCUCCAGAGAGAAAUGCUCAGAUUUCUGCUUAAUUUUCAUUUUACAGUUUUUUCUAUACUUCUUCAUUUCUGAAAGUAAUUUCUGGGAUUUGUUCUAAAGGCUACUAGAGAAAUGUAUGGUCCUUAUAUAAACUUUUAUACUUCGCAGAAUGGUGAGGCACUUUCAUAGAGCUUCUAAUGUUGCAAGUUCUGUGUCUAAGAGGCAGCUGCACAUAAUCAUGUUCAGAAGCAUUAUAACACCAAACGUGUCAGUGUAUAAAAGCACAGGUCCUUGUCCUGUAAACGCUUAAACAUGUGAAUAGCCUCAUCACUAUCAGAGGAAGUAUUCUAGAUUUAGGAAUGUGCUGAAGCGUCUCUCAAGAGGUCACACACGACUGUCUAGUUUUGUUAGAGACACUAGGCAGUGAAUAUCUGAAGACAAAUGGUUAGAUCUAUUUCUAGUACCAAGGGACACCAAUAUCAGCUCCCAGAAGUCAAAGACAAGCAGUUAUACACAAACUCCUUGCUUUAGCCCUUAAACAUCAGCAUUCCUUUUUCCUGCUUUUGUCAUCUGAAGCAAUACCAGGUACAAAAACCCUGUUAGCACCCUGCAAUUCUUCAGCUGGCUGAGCUCCUGUUAAAGGUAACAGGAGCUCUGGAAUGCAAGGCCUUAUUGAGGACUUCCACAGGGUGGAAAGUUUUCACUUAAGAUUUUUGAAAAGUUACUAAUUAAAGUUACCUUUUCAUUAAAACAAAGAGGCCAAAAAUCUGAAAAAAAAGGACAAAUAUUUAGCUUUUCACUGGAGAAAUGAAAAGUUCAAACAGUGUGGAAAAUGGCUUUUUUCAUCAACAGAAAGAAUGUUUUGACAAAGAGGUACUGAUCUCCUUAAGCAAUUUUACCUUCGUUAGAGGACCAGCCUUACUGAUACCCUGCUUAGAAAGAUACUUGUGUAGAUCUUCUUGUGCCUCUUAAUACACCAAACCCCCAAAAAGGUAAUCAAGCAGACACAAAAGAUACAGGGUUCUGGAAAGCAUGAAAUGAUCAGAUGUUCCCUGACAAAGUUAAACUGUAUUG